UUCCGGUUGAUCCUGCCGGACCCCACUGCUAUCGGGGUGGGACUAAAACAUGCAAGUCGAGCGCCUCCAAGCUAUGGUGAAGGCGCGGCAAACGGCUCAGUAACACGUGGCCAACCUGCCCUUGGGACGGAGACAACCCCGGGAAACUGGGGCUAAUCCCCGAUAGGUGAGGAAUCCUGGAAUGGACCCUCGCCCAAAAGACGUUGAGUCCAUGCUACUCAGCGCCGCCCAAGGAUGGAGCCGCGACCGAUCAGGUAGUUGGCGAGGCAACGGCUCACCAAGCCUAUAACCGGUACGGGCCGUGAGAGCGGGAGCCCGGAGAUGGGCACUGAGACAAGGGCCCAGGCCCUACGGGGCGCAGCAGUUGCGAAAACUCCGCAAUGCGCGAAAGCGUGACGGGGCUACCCCGAGUGCCGCCCGUUGAGGGCGGCUUUUCCACGGUGUAAGGAGCCGUGGGAAUAAGGAGAGGGCAAGACUGGUGUCAGCCGCCGCGGUAAUACCAGCUCUCCGAGUGGUGGGGACGAUUAUUGGGCUUAAAGCGUUCGUAGCCGGCUUAACAAGUCUUCCGUUAAAUCCAACGAUCUAAUCGUUGGGCUGCGGGAGAUACUGUUGGGCUAGGAGGCGGGAGAAGCCGACGGUAUUCUCGGGGUAGGGGUGAAUCCUGUAAUCCCGGGAGGACCACCAGUGGCGAAGGCGGUCGGCUAGAACGCGCUCGACGGUGAGGGACGAAAGCUGGGGGAGCGAACCGGAUUAGAAACCCGGGUAGUCCCAGCUGUAAACGAUGCGGGCUAGGUGUUGGGGUGGCCACGAGCCACUUCAGUGCCGCAUGGAAAGCAAUUAAGCCCGCCGCCUGGGGAGUACGGCGCGAGCUGAAACUUAAAGAAUUGCGGGGAGCACACAGCGUGAAGCUUGCGUUUAUGACUCAACGCG
This 930-nucleotide ribosomal RNA is filed under the name uncultured archaeon. Its description in RNAcentral is "bacterial SSU rRNA". It matches the Rfam family "Archaeal small subunit ribosomal RNA", at positions 1 to 919 of the family's 1478-position model. The record is from RNAcentral.